RNAcentral lists this ribosomal RNA (206 nucleotides) under uncultured bacterium. RNAcentral describes it as "partial 16S ribosomal RNA". It matches the Rfam family "Bacterial small subunit ribosomal RNA", at positions 568 to 774 of the family's 1533-position model. The record is from RNAcentral.
AGUGUAGGCGGUCAAGCAAGUCAGAGGUGAAAGGCAUCGGCCCAACCGAUGUAAGCCUUUGAAACUGUUUGACUUGAGUGCAGGAGAGGUAAGUGGAACUCCUAGUGUAGCGGUGAAAUGCGUAGAUAUUAGGAGGAACACCAGUGGCGAAGGCGACUUACUGGACUGUAACUGACGCUGAGGCUCGAAAGCGUGGGGAGCGAACA